UACAGAGGCCUCAAGCGUUGUUCGGAUUCAUUGGGCGUAAAGGGUGCGUAGGCGGCGCGGUAAGUCGGGUGUGAAAUCUCGGAGCUUAACUCCGAAACUGCAUUCGAUACUGCCGUGCUUGAGGACUGGAGAGGAGACUGGAAUUUACGGUGUAGCGGUGAAAUGCGUAGAUAUCGUAAGGAAGACCAGUGGCGAAGGCGGGUCUCUGGACAGUUCCUGACGCUGAGGCACGAAGGCCAGGGGAGCAAACAGG
This 253-nucleotide ribosomal RNA is filed under the name uncultured bacterium. Its description in RNAcentral is "partial 16S ribosomal RNA". It matches the Rfam family "Bacterial small subunit ribosomal RNA", at positions 524 to 776 of the family's 1533-position model. The record is from RNAcentral.